GCAAGUCGAGCGCAGUCCUUCGAGACCGUGCGGCGGACGUGUUAGUAACGCGUCGGAACAUACCCUUCACUAAGUAAUAGCCUCUGGAAACGGAGAGUAAUACCUUAUACGCCCUUCGGGGGAAAGAUUUAUCGGUGAAGGAUUGGCCCGCGUUAGAUUAGAUAGUUGGUGAGGUAACGGCUCACCAAGUCGACGAUCUAUAGCUGGUUUGAGAGGAUGAUC
This 222-nucleotide ribosomal RNA is filed under the name uncultured bacterium. Its description in RNAcentral is "partial 16S ribosomal RNA". It matches the Rfam family "Bacterial small subunit ribosomal RNA", at positions 57 to 305 of the family's 1533-position model. The record is from RNAcentral.